UACAGAGGGUGCGAGCGUUAAUCGGAUUUACUGGGCGUAAAGCGUGUGUAGGUGGUCAGGAAAGUCGGUUGUGAAAUCCCCGGGCUCAACUCGGGAACUGCUUCCGAUACUUCUUGACUCGAGUUCGGUAGAGGGAGGCGGAACUCCAGGUGUAGCGGUGAAAUGCGUAGAUAUCUGGAAGGACACCAAUGGCGAAGGCAACCUCCUGGGCCUGAAUUGACACUGAGACACGAAAGCGUGGGGAUCGAACAGG
This 253-nucleotide ribosomal RNA is filed under the name uncultured bacterium. Its description in RNAcentral is "partial 16S ribosomal RNA". It matches the Rfam family "Bacterial small subunit ribosomal RNA", at positions 524 to 776 of the family's 1533-position model. The record is from RNAcentral.